UCUUAUGUACAUGCCUGCAAUGUUAAUUCACCAUAUCCCAUCAGAAAUCCAUAGUUAAGCAUGCUUGGGCUAGACUAGUAUUGUGAUGGGUGACUGCCUAUGAAGUCCCAUUUUUUGCAUGCC
Picea glauca (white spruce) is the source of this 123-nucleotide non-coding RNA. Lineage: Eukaryota; Viridiplantae; Streptophyta; Pinopsida; Pinales; Pinaceae. The record is from Rfam.